This is a small nuclear RNA of Hypanus sabinus (Atlantic stingray), 158 nucleotides long. RefSeq annotates it as U1 spliceosomal RNA. The record is from RefSeq and is a predicted model, not a curated record. The transcript has a single exon. Lineage: Eukaryota; Metazoa; Chordata; Chondrichthyes; Myliobatiformes; Dasyatidae.
CUCCUUAACUGGCAGGUAACCAUCGGUGAUCAGGAGGGCCAAGAUUCCAGGACGAGACUAUUCCAUUGCACUUCGGGUGAGCUGGCGCCUGCGGUAUCCUCCGAUGUGGGAUAUUGGACUGCAUAAUUUGUUGUGUGGGGACUGCCUUCGUUCUCAGA